UACGGAGGAUGCAAGCGUUAUCCGGAUUUAUUGGGUUUAAAGGGUGCGCAGGUUGUUUGAUAAGUCAGUGGUGAAAGUCUGUCGCUUAACGGUAGGAUUGCCAUUGAUACUGUUAGACUUGAAUAUGGAUGAGGUAGGCGGAAUGUGUAGUGUAGCGGUGAAAUGCAUAGAUAUUACACAGAACACCGAUUGCGAAGGCAGCUUACUAUUCCAUUAUUGACGCUGAUGCACGAAAGCGUGGGGAGCAAACA
Molecule: ribosomal RNA, 251 nt
Filed under: uncultured prokaryote
Description: partial 16S ribosomal RNA
Rfam family: Bacterial small subunit ribosomal RNA
Source: RNAcentral